UUUUUCUAGAAUAUGUCUUCGUCUCAUUUUCGUCAGCAUUUUCACUAUCGCAGUCGGCGUGCAUCCAUCCAUUCACUAUUGAAAUCUGGCCUAUCACCAAAUAAUUACCAAUUCAAUUCAAGCAGAUUCAUCACCAAUUGGAACUUUGCAGUAAGAUGAAUCGCGUCUGGAAUAAUAUUAUUGAAUAUUUUCGAAAUCGUCGAAUCGAGGCGGAAAAUGAUCCAAGAGUCGAACCAAGGGCAUUCUCACAAAUGUUGAUCAGAUUAAGAAACCGAGGUUUUAGGGGAAAUCGGAUGAAAAGAUUUGUCUUCCAAAUUGUCUUUGUCGUAGUCUGCAUGGCUGUAUAUAGCUCCUGGCACGGGGGACUGGCAGGGAUCUUGGGGGUUGUUGAACAUGAGCUUCUUUGGAUUCGUAUUUCUUGGUCUCAUCGCCUUGCAAAUGUUCAAGUUUGUCCUUGGCGUUUUUAGCUGCAUUGUAGUUACACUUUGCGCAACAAACCGUGAAUUUCGGAUUGGUUAUAUUAUGGGAAGAGCAGCGGUGGGGGAACAAUGGGAACGUAUAAAUGCUUAGGAUUCUGGAUUAGGCAUCUUGAUGUACUUUUGAGACUGAUUUGUAAGACUUUGAAGAAUUUUUUACAUUGAUAAAUAAAUCAUUUGUGACAAAGAA
This is a long non-coding RNA of Folsomia candida, 666 nucleotides long. RefSeq lists it as uncharacterized. NCBI's taxonomy places the organism in Eukaryota, Metazoa, Arthropoda, Collembola, Entomobryomorpha, Isotomidae. The record is from RefSeq and is a predicted model, not a curated record. The transcript has 5 exons.